UACGAAGGGGGCUAGCGUUGCUCGGAAUUACUGGGCGUAAAGCGCACGUAGGCGGUCUUUUAAGUCGGGGGUGAAAUCCUGGAGCUCAACUCCAGAACUGCCUUCGAUACUGGAAGACUCGAGUCCGGGAGAGGUGAGUGGAACUGCGAGUGUAGAGGUGAAAUUCGUAGAUAUUCGCAAGAACACCAGUGGCGAAGGUGGCUCACUGGCCCGGUACUGACGCUGAGGUGCGAAAGCGUGGGGAGCAAACAGG
Molecule: ribosomal RNA, 253 nt
Filed under: uncultured bacterium
Lineage: Bacteria
Description: partial 16S ribosomal RNA
Rfam family: Bacterial small subunit ribosomal RNA
Source: RNAcentral